Pipra filicauda (Wire-tailed manakin) is the source of this 1297-nucleotide long non-coding RNA. RefSeq lists it as uncharacterized. Lineage: Eukaryota; Metazoa; Chordata; Aves; Passeriformes; Pipridae. The record is from RefSeq and is a predicted model, not a curated record. The transcript is spliced from 3 exons.
AAUAGGAGGUUUAUUUUUGGUCUGAAACUUUCAGCCUCUCCCCUUGUAAUAAACACUUCCAGAUUCCCACUGCAUGUGUUAUAUGAUGUUAUGGGCUUUUUUAUUUGGAUAUGAGAAAAACUACUAUGGCAUGUCCAUGUUUUUAGAACCGUGCCUGGAGGAGGAGGCACGUAGAGGUGUGAUGCUUAUGGACUCGCCCGGAGGCAGAGGUGGAUGAUGGCUGGGAGGACACAGGGGAGCUGUACACACCCAGCCCCAGGUUUUACCUUCUCAUUGCUGUACAGAGGCACACUGAAGAGGCAGCGACUGAUCAGGGAAGAACGAGCAAUGCUGCCAAUAUUCACUACGAGAAGGAAGAGCUGGAAGCUUCUAAACCAAAGAAAAAAGCCCCCACAGAGGCCCUGGUGUGAGUUUUAGCCAUGGGGCUGGAUAAUUCAUGGCUUGAUUUCUCACAGAGGCUGCUCCUGGCUUGGAGAGACCACCAGAUCCUGUACACAGGCAUGCAGAUGCCAUUGGAGAGGCAGAGCCAUUGGCAUCACCAGCCCCACAGCUGGAAGCAUUGGAAAGAGAAACAGGAGGACUCUACCCUGAGAGAGCAGGACCACCACUGUAAGUCAAGCCACGGCAUUCAUCAAUCACCUUGGAGCUACGUGGGCACUAUGUGGGGUCUUCUGCAAGCUGGUCUAUGGGGCUGGUUGUUCGUCUGAGACAAAGUGGCACUGUUUAAGAGUGUGAAAAGGAAGGAGUGGCAGACAACAUGGGACACUCAAGAGAUGAUUAUGACUCUAAGGAAGGUUACAAGUGCAAAGUAACUUUUGUAUUUUCUCAAAUGGGUAACAGCAUUAUUUCCUAUUGAGGUACUGUGUCCAGUUCUGGUCCCCACAGUUCAAGAAAAAUGCAGACAGAUUGGAGACAGUCCUAGAAAACUUGUCUGAAGAGGAAAGACUGAAUGGGUUAGGUCUUAUCUUCCCAAAGAAGAUUCAGGGGGGCCUCAUCUCAUCACAGAAUUUCCGCACUCAAAGAGCAACUACAAGGACGAAAGAGGUUCUCUGUUCACAAUGAUCCACAAGCAGAAGAGAAGGAGUAAUGGGUACAACUUGCACCAGGAGAGAUUUCAUCUUGAUAUAAAAAGAAUUUGUUUUUUUACAGUGAGAACAGUUGUUCACCUGAACAAUCACCCCAGGGAUGCAGUGGAGUUGACAUCACUGGAUGUUUUCAAGAUGCAACUGGACUAGGUGCUCAGAAGUUUCAUCUGAGAGGACAAAUAACAAAGUCCCAAUAUUUGAGAUGAUUUGAA